Long non-coding RNA from Gasterosteus aculeatus aculeatus (three-spined stickleback), 1423 nucleotides. NCBI's taxonomy places the organism in Eukaryota, Metazoa, Chordata, Actinopteri, Perciformes, Gasterosteidae. The record is from Ensembl.
GCUGUUGGUGUACAGGGAGAAGAGCAGGGGGGAAAGAACGCAGCCUUGGGGGGAACCGGUGCUGAUGGUCCGAGAGGCUGAGACAUGUUUCCCCAGCUUCACGUGCUGCUUCCUGUCAGACAGGAAGUCUGUGAUCCACUUGCAGGUGGAGUCGGGCACGUGCAGCUGGGAGAGUUUGUCCUGCAGCAGAGAUGGGAUGAUGGUGUUGAAGGCAGAGCUUAAGUCCACAAACAGGAUCCUGGCGUAGGUUCCUGGGGAGUCCAGAUGCUGGAGGAUGUAGCGGAGGGCCAUGUUGACAGCGUCGUCCACAGGCGUGUUGGCUCUGUAGGCAAACUGCAGGGGGUCCAGGAGGGGGUCGGUAAGGGACUUCAGGUGGGACGGGACUAGCCGUUCAAAAGACUUCUGGCGCGUUUCCACCGAGCGGUACGGUACGGUACGGGUCGGUACCCUUUUAUUUGUGUCUCCACUGCCAAAAGUUGAGAAUAGUACCAAAAAUCCAUACCGUACCACUUCUUGGGACCCUUCCGUUAGGGUACCUGGCACAGUUGUUUGGUACUAAAGGGUGGAGCUAGACUCACUGCAGAACGUUGAUUGGUUGAAAGAGUGUCGUCAUUUGUGCAUGCCGCGAGGGGAAAAAAGACAACACACGAGGCGCCAUUUUUAAACUACAACACCGUCGCAGCAAUGUCGCCGCGCAGCAUUACUUUACCGUGGUCAACCCAGGAGGUGCAGACCUUCUUGGGUAUCAUCGGUGAAGAAAGGGUGCAAAGGGAACUCUAUGGCAUGGUGAGAAACGAAAAUGUUUUUCAGCAUGUUUCAGAGAGGAUGGCUGUCGAGGGUUACCAGCGGACAUCCGAGCAGUGCUGCAUUAAAUGCAAGAAUCUGCGGAGUGACUACCGUAAGGUGAAAGACCACAACAGCCGGAGUGGUGUUCACAGAAAAAUUGGAAGUGGCUAGAUAUGAUGGACUUAAUCUACGGACACAGACCGGCGAGUUUGGGACGAGAAGGAGGCAUCGAUAGGGCCACCUCGUUGCUGGAGUCGACGAUGGAGCCUCCCGUUGAGCAUCCUAGCUGUCGGGAGGAAAUGGAACCCCAAUUUCCACCCUUGAAAGCGCAAGUUCCCCUGCCAGGACUUCAACACCACCAGAAUCUUCUCCAUCAACUGGGAGUGAACCUCGGCGUAUUACAAUUGGCUGAGAUGCAGGAGUGGCUGGAAAAGAUGGAGACCGCUGUGACCGGCGCUUCUAACUUAUGAUGGAGGAUGCCCGUGAGGCAAGGCGGCAUGAGGCUGAUAUAACUCGCCUACAUAUGGAGCAGUCUGCGAACUUUAAUCAGGCCUUCCUCGGAACGCUCACUCAGCUGGUACUGGUGCACCCCAACUCUGUGCUAUGAUCCAGCCACUAGUGCUCUUUUGCACACAGC